GAGUGUCUAGUUUAAUUUCCUAAAACGAUAGGUUGUCAAGCUAAAGUUACCUUAAGCUGUAGGGUGUCCCUCU
This 73-nucleotide transfer RNA is filed under the name Nesophrosyne sp. 295 GMB-2012. RNAcentral describes it as "tRNA-Asp". Lineage: Eukaryota; Metazoa; Arthropoda; Insecta; Hemiptera; Cicadellidae. The record is from RNAcentral.